Non-coding RNA from Arachis ipaensis, 1946 nucleotides. The record is from RefSeq and is a predicted model, not a curated record. Lineage: Eukaryota; Viridiplantae; Streptophyta; Magnoliopsida; Fabales; Fabaceae.
AAAUUUUAGCCGUUGAAUUUCUUGUUCAUUUCCAAUCUAAUUGUUACUGAUACUCAACAAAUUAGUAUUUAAAAAGCUGAGUAUUUUGAAGCAUGCAUAUGGAUAUUAAGUAUUUUGAAGCACACAUAUGGAUAUUGUUAUAUGCUUUAUUUUGUUACAAUAUCUUAUACAAGGUAGGGAUAUUAUGGCUGUACACUCUGAGUCAGGUUCGCAGGAGAAGAAAUCAGGCAAUGGAUUGAAUGAGUUACUGAUUUGUAUUGCCGAGAACAUGCAGAACAACAUAAAGAUUAUCUAUUACAGUUUACAGGAAACUUGCUGACAAGGUUGCAGCUGCUGACUAUUUUGUGAAUCUGAAAAAUAACUUGCAACAUUUUUAGUGACAAAUAGUUUGUGGGACUACACAAACAUUGUCAUGAAUUUCCUCUCUGGAUCCAGUGAGGUAGAUGGAAGUAAAAGUUUUGCCUGGCUUCAAUACUUCGAUGUUGUUAUCACUGGCAGUGCAAAGCCAGGAUUUUUUCAUGAGAAAAAUCACCCCAACCUAUUUGGGGUUGUGCCUGAGACUGAAAUGCUUCUCAAUACAGAUAGUGUUAUAUAGCCAGGAUUUCUUAGGUUCUGUAUGUUGGGGAUCACAUUUACGGAGCUAUACUACGCAGCAAAAAGGUUCUUGGAUGGAGGACCAUGCUUGUAAUACCAGAGCUUGAGAAGGAGGUUCAGCUUCUGAGGGAGUCAAGAGAUACCCGCAAGGAACUUCAAUUCCUGAGGAGCGAGCGUGAUCGCAUUGAAGAUGAGAUACAUCAUUUGUAGUGGUCUCUCAAUUAUAGGGGAAAAGUUGAAUUGUGACUAUACCGAAAUUUUCCAAAUAUAUGAAGAGAUUAUAAGCAUAAAGGAUUUUUCUAUACACACCAAGUUUAAUGGUAAUAAUUAUACUCGAUUCUAAAAGUUGAACUAUAUGCUAUGAUUCCUUAUGUUUUAAUUAGAUUUCUUGUGAGGGGAGAAGAAUGGUAGUUGAUUUUGAUUUUAUUUUUUCCUUUUUGUUUUACCAUUUUAUUUUGCAAUUGAGCCUAUCUUGAGUGAAAAUCUACUUCUUGGCUUUGCUUCAAGAUUCAAGUUCAUGCUACAGUAGUAAGUGAGUAAUGAACAUUUUAUUUUGUGUCUUUUUUAAGUUAAUAUUUUAAAAUGUGUAUUUUUUGUUGAGUUUGAUAUAUUUAUUUUCACGUACUUUAGUACUUAGUAAGUGCUUUGUUGACUUCACAACCUCUUUAGAUAAAGUAGUUUUAUAUUGUUCAAUAUUUUUAGUAAAUAAUUUACAAAUAAGUGUUUUUCUAGUUAAUAUUUUGGAAUUAUCUAUGAGUUUAAUAUUGUUUAUUUAGUGUUUUUAAUGUUAAUAUCUCAAGUUUAACCUAUGAUGUAAAGAAAAUAAGUUAUAGUAAAGAAAAAUGGUAUAAAUUAUUAUAGUUGGUAAGUCUUUUUUAAGCUUAUGUAUGAAAUUGUGGCGGUUCAAAGCCAUCGCAUUCUUUUUAAAAAAUGCACAUAAAUUUGCGGCGGUUGUGUAACCAUCGCAAUUAUUUUUAAAAUUUCGCUUACUAAAAUAGAUAAUCGCUGCAAGAUCAUCAACAUGAUUAGCAACGGUUGUGCCAGCGGUUCGUAAAAACUACCGCAAAAUCAAAUAGCCACGCCCUAAAUUACAAUGAUUAUAUGUCGUUUUGUGCCGAUUUAAAAUCGUCGCAAUUCUCCAAAAAAAUUGCCGCUAUUUACUGGUUCGAAUAAGUAAUUAAGAUGUAGAAUUCGAAUAAGUAAUUUUUGUACACCCUUCUUUAGUAGGGUGAAUGCAACAAACCAUUAAAUUGUUAUACCCUACAAUAAUUUAUUAUGAGUCCAGUUUAAUCUUAAUUUACAUCGAUCUAACUCGACUUAUUUACAAACCUACUUAUAUUAUAUACCAAAAA